This 765-nucleotide ribosomal RNA is filed under the name uncultured Streptococcus sp. RNAcentral's name for it is "bacterial SSU rRNA". It matches the Rfam family "Bacterial small subunit ribosomal RNA", at positions 28 to 776 of the family's 1533-position model. Lineage: Bacteria; Bacillati; Bacillota; Bacilli; Lactobacillales; Streptococcaceae. The record is from RNAcentral.
GAUGAACGCUGGCGGCGUGCCUAAUACAUGCAAGUAGAACGCUGAAGCUUGGUGCUUGCACCGAGCGGAUGAGUUGCGAACGGGUGAGUAACGCGUAGGUAACCUGCCUCUUAGCGGGGGAUAACUAUUGGAAACGAUAGCUAAUACCGCAUAAAAGUCGAUAUCGCAUGAUAUUGAUUUGAAAGGUGCAAUUGCAUCACUAAGAGAUGGACCUGCGUUGUAUUAGCUAGUUGGUGAGGUAACGGCUCACCAAGGCGACGAUACAUAGCCGACCUGAGAGGGUGAUCGGCCACACUGGGACUGAGACACGGCCCAGACUCCUACGGGAGGCAGCAGUAGGGAAUCUUCGGCAAUGGGGGCAACCCUGACCGAGCAACGCCGCGUGAGUGAAGAAGGUUUUCGGAUCGUAAAGCUCUGUUGUAAGAGAAGAACGAGUGUGAGAGUGGAAAGUCCACACUGUGACGGUAACUUACCAGAAAGGGACGGCUAACUACGUGCCAGCAGCCGCGGUAAUACGUAGGUCCCGAGCGUUAUCCGGAUUUAUUGGGCGUAAAGCGAGCGCAGGCGGUUAGAUAAGUCUGAAGUUAAAGGCUGUGGCUUAACCAUAGUACGCUUUGGAAACUGUUUAACUUGAGUGCAGAAGGGGAGAGUGGAAUUCCAUGUGUAGCGGUGAAAUGCGUAGAUAUAUGGAGGAACACCGGUGGCGAAAGCGGCUCUCUGGUCUGUAACUGACGCUGAGGCUCGAAAGCGUGGGGAGCAAACAGG